GUAGGUGAACCUGCGGAAGGAUCAUUAAUGAACCUUUGAGGGUUGAGCUGGCGAUUAACUUCGCAUGUGCUUGCCCUCUCAAUCUUCAUACACCUGUGCAUCUCUGAGGGGACAGUAGGCAUAACCUUUUUGGUAAUGUCGAGAUCCCCUUUAACAUACACUUUAUUUAUUUAAGAAUGUUCAAACGCUUAACAGCAUUUAAAUACAACUUUUAACAACGGAUCUCUUGGCUCUCGCAUCGAUGAAGAAC
RNAcentral lists this unclassified non-coding RNA (250 nucleotides) under plant metagenome. RNAcentral's name for it is "partial contains small subunit ribosomal RNA, internal transcribed spacer 1, and 5.8S ribosomal RNA". The stretch from base 207 to 250 matches the Rfam family "5.8S ribosomal RNA", at positions 1 to 44 of the family's 154-position model. The record is from RNAcentral.